This 253-nucleotide ribosomal RNA is filed under the name uncultured bacterium. RNAcentral describes it as "partial 16S ribosomal RNA". It matches the Rfam family "Bacterial small subunit ribosomal RNA", at positions 524 to 776 of the family's 1533-position model. The record is from RNAcentral.
UACGUAGGGUGCGAGCGUUGUCCGGAAUUAUUGGGCGUAAAGGGCUCGUAGGCGGUCUGUUGCGUCAGGAGUGAAAACUCGGGGCUUAACCCCGAGCCUGCUUCUGAUACGGGCAGACUAGAGGUAUGCAGGGGAGAACGGAAUUCCUGGUGUAGCGGUGAAAUGCGCAGAUAUCAGGAGGAACACCAAUAGCGAAGGCAGCUCGCUGGGACGGUAUUGACGCUAAGGCGCGAAAGCGUGGGGAGCAAACAGG